UGUUCGGCCUCCAUAUUUGGCACCAGGUAU
RNAcentral lists this non-coding RNA (30 nucleotides) under Rattus norvegicus (Norway rat). The record is from RNAcentral. Lineage: Eukaryota; Metazoa; Chordata; Mammalia; Rodentia; Muridae.